GACGAACGCUGGCGGCGUGCUUAACACAUGCAAGUCGAACGCUGAAGCUGGGUGCUUGCACUGGGUGGAUGAGUGGCGAACGGGUGAGUAAUACGUGAGUAACCUGCCCUUGACUCUGGGAUAAGCCUGGGAAACUGGGUCUAAUACUGUAUACGUCAUGCCACUGCAUGAUGGUGUGUGGAAAGGGUUUUACUGGUUUUGGAUGGGCUCACGGCCUAUCAGCUUGUUGGUGGGGUAAUGGCCUACCAAGGCGACGACGGGUAGCCGGCCUGAGAGGGUGACAGGCCACACUGGGACUGAGACACGGGCCAGACUCCUACGGGAGGCAGCAGUGGGGAAUAUUGCGCAAUGGGCGGAAGCCUGAUGCAGCGACGCCGCGUGAGGGAUGACGGCCUUCGGGUUGUAAACCUCUUUCAGCACGGAAGAAGCGAGAGUGACGGUACGUGCAGAAGAAGCGCCGGCUAACUACGUG
This 472-nucleotide ribosomal RNA is filed under the name uncultured bacterium. Its description in RNAcentral is "partial 16S ribosomal RNA". It matches the Rfam family "Bacterial small subunit ribosomal RNA", at positions 28 to 507 of the family's 1533-position model. The record is from RNAcentral.